GACAGAGGCCUCGAGCGUUAGGCGGAAUCACUGGGCUUAAAGCGUGUGUAGGCGGAUCGUUAAGUGUCUUGUGAAAUCCCACGGCUCAACCGUGGAACUGCUGGGCAUACUGGCGAUCUUGGGCCAUUCAGGGGCGACUGGAACAAGCGGUGGAGCGGUGAAAUGCGUAGAUAUCGCUUGGAACGCCGAAGGUGAAAACAGGUCGCUGGGGAUGUGCCGACGCUGAGACACGAAAGCCAGGGGAGCAAACGGG
This 253-nucleotide ribosomal RNA is filed under the name uncultured bacterium. RNAcentral describes it as "partial 16S ribosomal RNA". It matches the Rfam family "Bacterial small subunit ribosomal RNA", at positions 524 to 776 of the family's 1533-position model. The record is from RNAcentral. RNAcentral also lists the same sequence under 1 other name.